GCAUACUUGGCCGAGCGGUCUAAGGCGACAGACUCAAGAUCUGUUACUCAUGUGAGUGCCUUAGCAUAGUUCGAAUCCUGCAGUAUGCA
Molecule: transfer RNA, 89 nt
Filed under: Brettanomyces bruxellensis
Lineage: Eukaryota; Fungi; Ascomycota; Pichiomycetes; Pichiales; Pichiaceae
Description: Dekkera bruxellensis tRNA
Rfam family: tRNA
About the family: Transfer RNA (tRNA) molecules are approximately 80 nucleotides in length. Their secondary structure includes four short double-helical elements and three loops (D, anti-codon, and T loops).
Source: Rfam by way of RNAcentral